UCAUCGAAGAAGAAUAAAUUAUUCGUAGGGCAGACUCCUCCCUGCUGCAGUUCACAUGGAAGAUGUCAUUUGAACUAGUCACGAAUUUCUGUUGGGGUCUCCACAAGGAAAUGGCUGAGGGAUUACGUAUUUUUUUUCAAAAUUGGACAAUUCUUUAAUCCUGGACGCGAAUAUUUUAAUAACACUAGCAUUAUACCAUCGGAUAUGUGUGUUUUGAGUUUAGUUGAAGUCAAUUUGGCCAACACAACGGGAAAAUAAUAAUUUCGAACUUUUCGGACUCACCUCGGACUUGCUGCUGUUAGUUUACCACCUAGCGAUAACACCUGAUAUAGCUAGCUAAAUAGUUUUAAGUAAUUUGGGACAGUUAGUAGUGAUGGCUGGUAAUUAACUUGAGGGAGGCUUUUACAACAAGAUAACUAAUUUCUUAUACGAAAUACGACUAAAGUACAAGCAAGGUAAAGGAUAAAACCGGCAACUUUUUAUUGAAGUUGUCUCGAGCGAAAAUGAACAAUUGUACCGUUAGCACCUAGCUAGCAAAUUAUCUAACGGUAGCUAGUUGACAGUGACGUCAGGGGAAAUUGGGUAUGGUGUUGCAACUUUGUAACGUCAACGUUACCUACUUUAGAUUUGUUUAUCAAUUUAACUAGCUACAGUAGCUGAUUUAGCACAGCAUGCUAAUGAUGCGGGAUUCAACUGUGAAUUUCAGUGUUCUCCAUAGAACUUGCAAAUUGGUCGUCAUUCUUUGUUUUCUCCAUAUUUCGGUCACUUUAAUUUUUUACGUGAGGUCGUUAGAUAUUCCAUUUUCGUUUGCACAAAAUCAGCAAGCACACGCAGCGAAAAAGCAUAACCAAACUACAUCAGAGGACACCAAACCUGACGUGGUUGAAACGAACCGCUUUUCUGUAGACAACGUGACAUCUACAUUCAACAAAGAACUUGUAAAAUGUUUUGACACUUCACCACUGCUUGUGGGCCCACUGCGAAUUGAGUUUUCUAACCCAGUCAGCCUUGAUGUGGUAAGGAAGGAGAACCCCAAUCUUCAGAAUGGGGGGCGCUUCAGGCCCAAAGACUGUGUGGCCCUCCAGAAGGUGGCUAUCAUCAUCCCUUUCCGCAACCGCGACGAGCACCUCAAGUUUUGGCUGUACUACCUCCAUCCCAUCCUUCAGCGCCAGCAGCUGGACUACGGCAUCUACGUUAUCAACCAGGACGGUGAUGAGAUCUUUAACCGCGCCAAGCUCCUCAACGUUGGCUACACAGAGGCCCUGAAGGAGUACGACUAUGGCUGCUUUGUUUUCAGCGAUGUGGACCUAAUCCCUAUGGAUGACCGCAACACCUACAAGUGCUUCAGCCAGCCCAGGCACCUGUCUGUCUCCAUGGACAAGUUUGGCUUCAGGUUGCCGUACAACCAGUAUUUUGGGGGGUGUGUCGUCAAUGAGCAAGGAGCAGUUCCUCAAGAUCAACGGCUUCCCCAACAACUACUGGGGCUGGGGAGGGGAGGACGACGACAUUUUCAACAGGCUGAGCUCCAAGGGGAUGACCAUCUCACGGCCCAGCGGAGCCGUGGGGAAAUGCAGGAUGAUCCGCCACAACCGGGAUGGUGGGAAUGAAGACAACCCUCAGAGGUUCGACCGCAUCGCCCACACCAGGGAGACAAUGAACAAAGACGGCAUCAAAACCCUGUCGUACAAAGUGGUCAAAGUGGAGAAGGAUCAAUUAUACACCAAAAUUACUGUGGACGUGGGAAAGAAAGACUGAGAGAACCAAUAAAACAUGAACAGCCUUGACAACCUGUGGUGGAUGCAGUAACCAAAUGUGCCUUGACAUUGUAAAUAAUGAUAUGCCUUGGACUCUUUGGACUACAGAGAAUGACUGAUCUGAUCAGCAAACAAACGUUCCCUUUAUUUUCGGCCUUUGCACAUCCGAUGGUGAAUUGAACUGGGAUUCCAGCUUUUUCUUUAUAGGAUCCAUAAAUCAUUGACACCAGGAAUGACCGUUGACAUUCAGUACAUUGACACACUGUUGGUUUCCUAUUGGGCUUGUACGUACUCCACACUCUUUUUGAAGAUUGCUGCUGCGACAAAAGUCCUUUGUGAGCCAUUUUGUCUUGACGGGUGGUUGUAAAAUGAUUCAUUUAUUGUCCUAUGCAUCGGGGACUCUCAAUUCAUUUUGUAUGUCUAUUUCUUUCUAGUACUGUUGAUGUUGUUUUGGCAUCAUUGUAGUUUUCUGUCACUUUUGUGAGAUAUUUGCUAUUCCUUUUGAUUCCUUUGCUGAUCGAGCAAGGUUUCAACCCAUUCAAUGCCAAGUGCUCAGGCCAAAGAUUGAACUUCAAAUUGUAGAGUUCCAUAACAAACCAAGUCACUUUUAUUUUUUUCAAAGGCAACCAAACAAUGAUCUUAAGAUUGUUGUACUUUUGGAUACAUUCACAACCUUUUGAUAGGGCAUCAAAGGGCCUAGAACUCCAAAAAUAUAUUUUUUUUUUUUAAAGUCCAAAUCCCAUGAUAGUUAUAUUAGAGAAGGGGUCCUUAAGGGUAUUUGAACUAUCUUGAAAGUGUCUCCGUUGAAGCUCCCUUCCCUGUGAAGAGCACCAUUCCAGGUAGCCUCUAAGGAGGCCUCUCCCUGGUGGAAAAUAGGUACCUGAAUGUAUUUGCCUGGUGGUGUGUGUGUGUGUGUGUGUGUGUGUGUGUGUGUGUGUGUGUGUGUGUGUGUGUGCCCUGAGGUAAAAUGCUACCAUGCUGUUGUCUGUCAUGAGUGUCUGGCGUUCUACUUUUUUUGUCUACGAGAGUGGAUUCUAUGCUGAAAAGGAUCCUCUUGUAGUCCGUGUAUGUCUUAAGGAAGUGUGAGGGUUAGAAAAACAAGCAUUUUGUAUCCUCAAUACCUAGUAAUCAAUAACCUUAAAGACAUCCGCAUGUUUUUAAACUGGACGGUCACCAUGUCUUCCUCACAGGUACUUUAUAGAUCCUCAUAUACAGUGAAAAUGGCUCAAGCUUGUGAGCCAUGGGGCAUGAUGUUGCACAAGUAAAGUUAGUAACUCAAUCUUGAGAAAAAAAGCCAUUGAGAUUUCUGACUGGAUGGAACAGAAUAAUUGUGCUGUCCAUACUUAGGCUUAAAUGUUUGCCAUUCCUCUCCUGACUGCUUCUUAAUUAUAUCAGUGCUGGUGUCUGGAGAAUCUAUAAAAUGACUGCCAUUUCUGCCUUAUCUAAAUAAACUUGAAAAUAUACAUUAAUUGGUCAACAUUUUGAUGUCAUUGGGUUGCUCUUCAAGCUGUAAGCCUUUAUGGGCUUGGCCAGGAAACCCAAUAUCGUGGGCUUAUUCAACUAUGAUGGAAAUCCUUUUAUGGUGACUAGAGGAUUGUCAGCUCUAUGCAACACAUUUCUAUGCUUUAAAUUUGGAGUGGUUGCCAACUUGAGUACAUCUUAAAGGCCUCAUCACCACAUACCUCCUCACUCUGUCUGGUAGCCACACACAAACGCUCUAAAGACAUGGGAGAUGCCUUGCAUGCAGGGAUGCAUUAUGUGCAAUGCAUACUAUUUUUAUCUCAUUUUCUCAAUCCACCCAAAGGCUCUUUCAGAGUUAAACUAAGGUCUUUAUAGGUUGGCUAAAGCCAGGUUGUGUACCUCCCAUAGACAAUGGCCUUUGAGAGCCAGCAUUUUGUAUGUCAAGUGUGAAUUCAGUUUGUUUUACAAAAGUUAGCUGGCUAAUCUGCAGGGCUUCAUUACUGUUCCUUUUUCUCUUCAUGGUUUCCAUUAUGAUUCAAUGUGUGCAUGUAUGUGUAUGCUUAUGCAUUUGUAGAAAUCACGUCUUUGUAAAUCUUUUGCUGGCUCUUCACAUUUUCAUUCAAAAAUGUAUACUGACUUGCAGCAAUGUUUUUGUGUUGAUUUAAAAAAAAAAAUCUGUCUAGGUAAUUAAAUAUUUAAGUAAA
Molecule: RNA transcript, 3919 nt
Organism: Oncorhynchus gorbuscha (pink salmon)
Lineage: Eukaryota; Metazoa; Chordata; Actinopteri; Salmoniformes; Salmonidae
Gene name: beta-1,4-galactosyltransferase 1-like
Exons: 6
Source: RefSeq, a predicted model, not a curated record